GCUUAUGGCCACACCGGCCUGAGUACGCCUGAUCUCGUCCGAUCUCGGAAGCUAAGCAGGGUCGGGCCUGGUUAGUACUUGGUUGGGAGACCGCCUGGGAAUAUCAGGUGCUGUAAGCU
Molecule: ribosomal RNA, 119 nt
Filed under: Oncorhynchus mykiss (rainbow trout)
Lineage: Eukaryota; Metazoa; Chordata; Actinopteri; Salmoniformes; Salmonidae
Source: RNAcentral